GGCGCGGUAGCAAAGCGGUUAUGCCCCGGAUUGCAAAUCCGGUUAGCGCGGUUCGACUCCGCGCCGCGCCUCCA
RNAcentral lists this transfer RNA (74 nucleotides) under Ramlibacter sp. RNAcentral describes it as "tRNA-Cys". It matches the Rfam family "tRNA". Rfam says of the family: Transfer RNA (tRNA) molecules are approximately 80 nucleotides in length. Their secondary structure includes four short double-helical elements and three loops (D, anti-codon, and T loops). RNAcentral also lists the same sequence under 3 other names. The record is from RNAcentral. Lineage: Bacteria; Pseudomonadati; Pseudomonadota; Betaproteobacteria; Burkholderiales; Comamonadaceae.